Molecule: ribosomal RNA, 426 nt
Filed under: uncultured bacterium
Lineage: Bacteria
Description: partial 16S ribosomal RNA
Rfam family: Bacterial small subunit ribosomal RNA
Source: RNAcentral
GUGAGGAAUAUUGGGCAAUGGGCGCAAGCCUGACCCAGCAACGCCGCGUGAAGGAAGACGGUCUUCGGAUUGUAAACUUCUUUUGUCAGGGACGAAUAAUGACGGUACCUGGCGAAUAAGCCACGGCUAACUACGUGCCAGCAGCCGCGGUAAUACGUAGGUGGCAAGCGUUGUCCGGAUUUACUGGGUGUAAAGGGCGAGUAGGCGGAUUUGCAAGUCAGGUGUGAAAGCCCGGGGCUUAACCCCGGGUCUGCAUUUGAAACUGCGGAUCUUGAGUAUCGGAGAGGCAGGCGGAAUUCCCGGUGUAGCGGUGGAAUGCGUAGAUAUCGGGAGGAACACCAGUGGCGAAGGCGGCCUGCUGGACGACAACUGACGCUGAGGAGCGAAAGCGUGGGGAGCAAACAGGAUUAGAUACCCGUGUAGUCC